This is a long non-coding RNA of Anopheles coluzzii, 4934 nucleotides long. RefSeq lists it as uncharacterized. Lineage: Eukaryota; Metazoa; Arthropoda; Insecta; Diptera; Culicidae. The record is from RefSeq and is a predicted model, not a curated record. The transcript is spliced from 3 exons.
AAGCAAGAUGUUUUGUCGUUUCCAUUCAUUGUUAUUCACAAAAAGUUGAAAAUGCUUUUCCUCUUCGCCACCUGCAAGACUUGCGCCGUCAGCUGGCCCAUCAUGAAGUUGUUCGAUGCUAUAGAAUUGAGCAUAAAUAUUGCUUCCCUAUCCGGUGCGAUUAUUUUGUGCAAAACAGUGUGUACACUUAUAUAGCACACACCCAGCAAAAAAAACUUGUUUGAAAUUGUUAUGAAAGCUUGUUCAGCCGCCCGAUCGCCAUCCAAUCAUGACCGGGUUCGAGGAAGUGUUCGCUCGAGUGUGUCCAGUUGAGCCGACUGGUCUCUUAAUUAAAUCGUUAUGCAAAUUCCGGGAAGGGAGCGACUGCGACUGACAUUCUAUUUAUUAUGCUGUCCCAUUGACAAACAAGUGUGUUUUCACCUCCACUGGUGGAAGUACCAUGCGGCUCCAUCGUCGGGUUUGUCAGGUUGACUGAGAAGAAACAUUAAAAUUCUUGAAUUAAAUUUAUGUUUUGUGCGAUUUUCUACAAAAUCAGUCUCACCAUUGAGCAAUGUUAUUUGUAGAGAGAAAUGCUAAAAUAAGGUAAAAAAUGGUAAAAAAAACUGCAGCCAAAGAAAUCUCGCCACGGAUCUACGGAUCGAGCGGAAAAGCACAAUUUUGUUAGCUGCUGCAUGCUUCUUAGCACAAUGUAGAGUUGAUUUUUCCCUUCCUCGGCCCUACAUUUCCAACCCACCAGAGGGUGGCUGGAGGAGUACGGGCUCUGCCUGGCAACGAGUACCGUAUCGCCCAGGGUUCAUCAGCCGUUGGAGCAGCCAACACGAUAUUAUGAGCCACGGGACCAUAUGGAAGCGCCCAACGGUGGUGGAGAGAGAAACGACCAUCCGGCACAGACGACGACGACGACGAUGGUGUCAUCGAAUGAAUAGCGUACUCGGUAUCUCGGUAUCAUUUUACCGCCGCCCACGUGCACCGUCUGCAGGGGUGUAGAUAAGAACACUCGUCAAAGGCGUAACAGAAGGAUUUCUUUGGAAAGAUUCUUUUCCACUUGCUAUCGAAGCAUUGCGACUAACUAAGUAACGAGAUACUUUAAGCGUGAACCAGAACGGAUUGCAAACUUAUAAUAAUCACAGUUUUUGCAACCCUCUUCCCACACCUACCCUGUCUAAUGCCCUUGCAUUAAGUGUGUUAAAUAUUACGCUGUCAGUUCGAUUAUCGUUUUUUUUUCUUCGCCAUAUCCUUCCCACCGACCGAUCAAUCAUAGAAAAAGUCGAUUUGGAAAGUUGAUCCUUUUUGUGGCACUCUCUCUCUCUGUCCCGAGGAUUGGGUAGGUGUACACUCGAGACCGGGCGCGUCUGCGUGCCGCAGCGGGUAAAAGCUGCGACCGACUGUCGUUAUCGGAAAAUUAUAUAUCACAUCUUGCUUUAAACCCCACUUUAGCUGUUCAUUUUUCUUUUGUUGGGUUGUUGGUGGAGAGCGUUUCAACAGAAAAGCUUUGCGAAAGGUUACGUGUAUCGAGCAUUGUAUCGUUCACGUUAAUAUUGCUUCUUCGCCGGGGCACAUAACCUAGUAAGAGUGGGGCACAAAAAAGGCUCCACGAUUAUACGCGUUCGUUCACGGGCUUUUUCUCAAUAAGCUCAUUGAAGUGUUGAGCGUUUGCAAAAGGAGCAAGAACAGCAUUGUACGCGAUCCAUUAACAAUGGAUGCCAUUUACACAACGAUGCUGCAUGAAAUGUCAAUCGAGAUACGGUAACAUCGACGUUACGGCGUUGAGCAAUUGAUUGGUCUAUUUUUCGUGUUGAGAGCUGUCUCUACAUUCCAUUUUCCCUCACACUAUCAACUCUCACUGUCUAUAAGUGUGUAGCAUUAAUUGUAGCUUCCUUUUGUUCGUGACGAAAAUAUGCCACCGACCAUAUUUUAAUUUUGGUGCAUUAUUGAUCCAGUUUAAUCGCCAUGAUUGAUCUCUGGUUGAUGGAACUAGGAAAGGUCGCAGUCGUCUGACAUAGUUCGACACGAAACGGUACCACGGGGCAUGGCCGGGGCAUGGUGGUCGUGGAAAAUUUCGGUUCACUGUUUUUGACACCGCCAGACACCAACGAAAUGCUCCGAUGAAUUCGACCACCGUACCUUCAUGUCCAGGCUCACAAAAAAGGAGGUCAACAGUUGCAGCCGGUUUGAUUGAUCGCUUAAUAUAAUUAUAGAUAAACAUCAGCGAUAUUCGAUAGUGGUAGGAUGCGACAGACAGGGGGCUGGUCCAAUGGUACAGUCAUCAACUCGAACGACUCAAUAACAUGCCCGUCAUGGGUUCAAGCCCAGAAUGGACUGGACCGUCCCUCCCGUAGCAAGGAUUGACUAUCCUAUCCGGCUUGCUUGUGCUUGGUAAUGAAUUAAGUCUCGAAAGCCUGCAUAGGCCGGGACAUGUCCGCGUAGGACGUUAUGCCAAGUCAAGUCAGUUAAUUAUGACACGGAAAUGAAUCGUCUGGUUUAAGCCGUUCCAAAAGAACCAAAAGAAUCAAAACCUGGCAGGUAAAAACCUGUCCAGUAGGCUUAGUAAGUCUGUGUUGUUCAGUAGUCUAGUAAGUCUUAACAAAUCUCUGACCUUGGCACCCACCAUCAUGCGUAGGUCGUUUAUGCUAAGCAAGAGAAAGAAGAAGAAUGUAAGGAAUCUUCAUUUUUUCAUCGUUUGAUUGGUGUAAACCCCCAUCCAUCCAUCCUCGUUCCAUCUCAUUUACAAACCGGUCGUCCAUCUCUUAGCAUUUUCCCCGAUGAUGUCCAAGAACGUGUCGAACAAGUUGCCCCGUUGCUUGGGUGCUGUGCUGUGCGGUUGCUAGACACCGCGAGCUACACACCAUGCUUUACACACCAAAUAACAGAAAGGCCCUCCACAUCGUAGUGGCCGUUGCUUGGUUGUGUUGUUGUGUGACAUCAAAACGCUCGCAGCGCGGGUCAGUGUGAUAGCUGCCGAGAAUCCGGGGCGCAGCAGCGACGGAUGACACCGUAUCAUUCGCCUCGUUCAAACAUCCUACCAUCGAAACUGACCGAAGAAGAAAAAUAUUUCGAUGGAAGCAAGUGGAUAUAAAAAAAACGGACAAAUUCUUUGUGGGGCCGGUUGGGGGGCCUUUGAGUGUGCGGCAGAGAGAGAGAGAGCGUGUAACCUUCAACCACACACUAUUGCGCUCCCAUGGCCUACCUUGCCUUUGAAAAACGAGAUCGGACGUCACCCGAAGAGACGCGGACACAUCGUUUGAUGGGGUGGUGCUGUUGUGGCCCGUUGAACGACGCCGGGGCAGGAGGGAGGACUAGAUCAGCUAUUUUUGGCACCGAAUUUAUGGUAAUGAACUUACUGUCUUUUCCUCCCCGCGAUCGAUUGGCCUGGGGGCGAAAACACAACAGCGCGGCGGUUUGUUUGCUCCGGUCCGGCAGCAAUAAUAAUUCGCGAAUCAAUCAACAUGCACAUAAUCAACUCCUUUUUCUAUCAACAGUAAACGAGCUCGCUCAGUGAUGGUACAACGUGUAGAACAAGGGCAGCGCAGAUAAGUUGGAAUGAACUUGCAGCGAUUUUGUCGCUUUCAAAAGACAUCAAACGACAAGUGUCUAAUAUCGCUCCAGCAUGCCAGUGGUGUUAUGCAAUGGCCAUUUUGCUAUCAAUUUUGCGGACACAGCACACCACCUCGCAGGUAGAAGCGAAUGAUUACGAAGCAGUAAAAAUACCAUCUCGUCGGCAGAGUAACACAGGUUCGGGACAUGAUUGUGACAGUCAGUAAGAAACGGGUCCGUCCGUUCACGAUAAGCCGGCUCGCGAACGGGCAAGAACAAUUCAAUCCGGUCUGAUCGACCGUACGUACAUCGUCCGUGCAAGUACAUCGGCCCAUCAUCACGCAACAGCGAAACGGGCAGCGCCCGUUUUCUGCCCCAUUCGCCACCAGGUCCCAAGGGUACCACCCCCUCCCCCUCCCAGUAAGGUAUUUAUCGAUUUAAUAACAAUUCUGUAGCUAAAAAUAAAUUAUGCAUAAACUUCACUUGCAUAUAUUUUCGGUCGCCUUAUCCCGGCCGCGUUUCAACCGCUGGUGUAUGGAUGUGUUUGUUUGUGUGUGUGUAUGUGUGUGUGCUGUCUGUGCUCCGAUCCUUCCAUAUAUCGUGCCGUUGCCGUUUGAAAGAAAGAAAAAAAAGGACCGUCGUCACGAAUAAGGAGGUCGGCGCCGAUUUCCUUUGGGGCGUUUCGGUUCGCCCUUCGCUCAACCGUCUACGUCCCCAUCCAACCCCUCAAUACUACCCGUAACGUACCGCACGCAAUCCUGGGGGCAUUUCGCACAAACCACACACACACACACACACACACAUACAGAGAAGUAGACACAUUACACAUGGCAGUAGGUGGCGUGGUUUUUAAUGAAAGGGAAGAAACGGAAAAUCGGCACACGGUCGCAAGAAGGGAGAUAGAAUCAUCGCAACAAAUCUAUACACACCCGUACGUACACACACACUCACACACUUUGCUGUAGCCACAUCACUGACACUGACAGUUAGAGUUGUACGCGGGGAGCGUGAGAUUGCCAGGAGGGGUUUUUCCGCUUUGCUUGCUUGACGGCAGCGGCAGCUUCUUCGCUCAUUCGGACGAUUCAUUCAUCUGCGAGCGAACGGAAAAAAGCUCCCCACUCACACUCACACACACACGCACGCCUCGUACACAGGCAGGGAGAAAGGUUUGUGUGUCAGCUUCACUGGAAACAUCCUUCGCGACACUCCACCCGUAGCCAAAGUAGCCUUUGCCUUUCGGUAUUUCGCUGUUACUGCCACAAAUUCCGCGUUUUGCCAUUGCCACUUUCACCGAAUGGGUGUCACAGUAAUGGCAAGCACGAAACACAUAAAAACACUUCGCGGUUGCUUUCCCCGGGGAAAGCUGAGCAUUUCAGGCAUUUUGGGGGUGGUGGGGGGAA